UUCCCUUCACCAAUUCUUCAUAUCUUCUCUGUUCAUCUAUUGGUAAGCGAAAGCUGAAAUUCAUACUCUUCUCUUGCUAUUUUUUUGUUUAUAGGGUUCCAACUAAUUUGUGACUAAGCCAUAGUAAUUGUUGUUAUGAUAGUUGAAGAUGUGCUUUAGUCACAAAUAAUAUUAGUUUAGUUUUCAAUUUUGUUUUUAGGUAAGGAUGAUGAGAAGUAAAACCCCAUGGAAAAUUAAAACCCCACAGAA
RNAcentral lists this long non-coding RNA (249 nucleotides) under Nicotiana benthamiana. Its description in RNAcentral is "long non-coding RNA (NBEN_LNC001361)". The record is from RNAcentral. Lineage: Eukaryota; Viridiplantae; Streptophyta; Magnoliopsida; Solanales; Solanaceae.